AAAGUCAGUAUUGAACUUGCACAGCUUUCCAACGAUAGAGAGGUAGCAGAGGUUGCAAAAUAUGAAGCCCUUUCACGUCUUGAAAAGUUAUCCUUGGAUCACAUUGAGGAGAAAAAGAAACAAUAUUCUGGGCUUGCUUCGUUAAAAUCUGCUGCAGAUCAACUCAGGAAGAGCUUCUCUGAUAUCAAUAAUUUACUAGCUG
This 202-nucleotide unclassified non-coding RNA is filed under the name Hevea brasiliensis (rubber tree). Lineage: Eukaryota; Viridiplantae; Streptophyta; Magnoliopsida; Malpighiales; Euphorbiaceae. The record is from RNAcentral.